This 77-nucleotide transfer RNA is filed under the name Omnitrophica WOR_2 bacterium GWA2_47_8. Its description in RNAcentral is "tRNA-Arg". It matches the Rfam family "tRNA". From Rfam's summary of the family: Transfer RNA (tRNA) molecules are approximately 80 nucleotides in length. Their secondary structure includes four short double-helical elements and three loops (D, anti-codon, and T loops). Further hydrogen bonds mediate the characteristic L-shaped molecular structure. tRNAs have two regions of fundamental functional importance: the anti-codon, which is responsible for specific mRNA codon recognition, and the 3' end, to which the tRNAs corresponding amino acid is attached (by aminoacyl-tRNA synthetases). tRNAs cope with the degeneracy of the genetic code in two manners: having more than one tRNA (with a specific anti-codon) for a particular amino acid; and 'wobble' base-pairing, i.e. permitting non-standard base-pairing at the 3rd anti-codon position. Lineage: Bacteria; Pseudomonadati; Candidatus Omnitrophota. The record is from RNAcentral.
GCGCCCAUAGCUCAAUUGGAUAGAGCAUCAGCCUACGGAGCUGAGGGUUACAGGUUCGACUCCUGUUGGGCGCGCCA